This 1530-nucleotide long non-coding RNA is filed under the name Carassius auratus (goldfish). Its description in RNAcentral is "lncRNA (ENSCARG00000023346.1)". The record is from RNAcentral. Lineage: Eukaryota; Metazoa; Chordata; Actinopteri; Cypriniformes; Cyprinidae.
AUGAACGAACAUCCCUUGCCACAAAGGACCACGUGGCUCCAUGCUCACGCCAUCCAGCGCCAGUCUCACACGCACGUCGCCAGUCUCACGCCACGCACACAGGGCCAUGCAAGUAUCGUUUUCAAUGGAGAUUUAAAUGCUGCUUUAAAAUGUUGCUAUGAUUUGAUCCGUUGUUGGCUUCCAAAAGUUACUGACUAUGAUUUUCUUACCUGAGCUCAUUCUGUGAUCUCUCCCUCUUUCAUUCUCUCUCUCUCUGUCUCUCUCUCUCUCCUUCUCUCCCUCAUUUGGAUUCCGUUAGGUCUUGUAAAAAGUUUACUGUCUGUAUUGUCGUAUGCAUAUUUACUCUGUGUGAUUUGUAGCUUGAUGUAUUAUUAGUUCAGUUAUUAAAAACCCAUAAAUUCAUGAUUGCCUUGGCCUCCACACCACUCACAUUACGAGUCACUGAGAUGUCUGAUCUUUAGCUACAAGCUUUAAAUUUAGAAACUAAAUUUAUCAUAAGGAUAGGAUAAUGUUUUCAUGGCCAGAGAAUAUUUUUCCCUGAAUUAUAAGAAGUGAUAACUUUAUUGAAAAUUGAUAGGUCAAUCUGGUUUGCUGGACAAACCACUGUUUGAUUUGCAGUAAUUUACAGUAAGAGAUAUCACAAUAAUUGAUAUGAAGAAUGGAAUAUUGACAUAUUAAUGAGUAAGUUACAGUGCCCUGUAAUUAGUUAUUGGUAUAGACUAUUGAGCUAUUUUUCAUAAUCAAUACAAUUUAUUGUAACUGUCAUAUGAGAUAUAAAUAUUAAUCAUAUUCCUGAUUAAUUAUUCAAAUUCCCUAUAUAUCAUUUGAGUUAAUUAUUCUGUACAACCCAUUGUUGCUACAUUGCAUACAGUUAGUGUUGGCGGUAUGGUUAUGUUCAGGGCAACACUCCACACGCCUGUCCAUGCAGCCAUGCUUGGACAGAGCGGGGAGAGCAGCAAGACAACCCCCCUGGGCCUGGGGUACAGAACAGAACCAUUAUAAGCAUACAUAAUUACAAUUCUCAAUUACAUGAGUUGUAAACAAAAUGUCAUGGAGACUGCUUCCAAUGAAGACACUGUAAAGAAAGUCAGAUCAGAUAAAAGGUUCAGUGGGUGGAGUUGGGGUUGGAAGAGGGAGUUAAUUGCAAGCAGCAAUGCGAUGGAGAGACACUGAAUAAUGGGAAUUUAAAUAGACCGCAGGUGAUAGGUGUCAAGACUGGAUUGGUACACGUCAGUAACAGCUGACUGUCAGCUGAUGCAAGCAUGACUAUCAUGACCUGACUGAACUAACGUGAUGCUGGAUAUUUAAUUGGUAGAAAUUUCUGAGUAACUUUUGUAUUAUUCUGUAGAAUUUGCAACUUAACUGAUUAAAGAUGUAUUUAAACCUCUCUCUCUCUCUCUCUCUCUCUAUAUAUAUAUAUAUAUAUAUAUAUAUAUAUAUAGGAAGGAUAAGGAAGGAAAACAUUCAUAAUCCACUGAGCUCAAAAGUCUGAGAGAGUAGUUGUGAUAUAAAAAUGUGGAUGUAAAAUCU